CAAGGUCAACUCCCCCUGCAUUCCAUCUGGCUGUCCCGGUCCAGCUCUGAGACGUCUGAGGAGCUUCUUAGCUCCUCUCUCUCUCCGGUGCUGCAUGUCCAAAACUGCUCUCCAAAAUAGGAGUCCAUGUCCCUCUUCUCCAAGAGGGGUCUCAAGGGAGUUUUAGGGGAUCUGGUACAGUCUUACCCCCAGAACUCUGUUUUUCAGGCUGCUGGCUCUCUUUCUCCUCGGCUCUCCUUCCAGGAGAGUCUUCUCUACAGUGCUGCAUGUUGCUUCUGCUGCUCCUUCAGUUCAGGUCCUUAUCAGUCCUGGCUCUCUGCCACCGUUUCUCUGGUCAGUGCCUGCUGCUGUUCUGCGCCCAUGGAGAAAACAUUCUCCCGGCAUAACUACAGGCACCUAGCCCAGCUUUAUGCUGUUCCAGGUCCCUGCAGCCCCCCAGCCAGGGGCUGGGAGGGCCCAGAGGGCCCAAGGGGCUUAGAGCCCCUUCCUCAUGGCUCACAACAUGGCCACCACUUCUACAACAACAACCAAACUACAACUCAUCUCUUCCGGUCUGGUUGUGAUAU
Pseudopipra pipra is the source of this 566-nucleotide long non-coding RNA. RefSeq lists it as uncharacterized. NCBI's taxonomy places the organism in Eukaryota, Metazoa, Chordata, Aves, Passeriformes, Pipridae. The transcript is spliced from 2 exons. The record is from RefSeq and is a predicted model, not a curated record.